This 204-nucleotide long non-coding RNA is filed under the name Musa acuminata (dwarf banana). Its description in RNAcentral is "long non-coding RNA (MACU_LNC005680)". The record is from RNAcentral. Lineage: Eukaryota; Viridiplantae; Streptophyta; Magnoliopsida; Zingiberales; Musaceae.
AACUCGAUUGGUUUUAUUUUUGUAUCAAAUUAUUAAUUUAAUUACAGAAGAAAAAAAAAAAGGAUAUCUAUCGGAGUUGGCAACGAGGGAAUCCUGGACCUCAUCACGUGGGCCAUGAGCCAGAGAGACCGUGGGUCCCACUCAGUACGGUACUUCCCAUUUGUCAACUCUCUUCUGUCUCCUUCCCUCCUUCCUUUCACCCGC